AAGUGCUGCAUAUUUCAAGUUCCCCUAGAGUCCCAUUCCCAUGUCCGUCCUCUUUAAAGUGAUGAGCUCUCUACAUCAGGAGACACAGGGUGGCGACUUGCAGGUGUGGCCUGAGACAGCAGAAGUAGGAGCUCUGCAGGAAGUCCAGAUGGCAGUGUGCCCACUUCCCCAGCAUGAAGGGUCUGUGUCCAGCACAGGAGGAGGAAAGUGACAGCAAGCUGGAGGAAAAUGGGUACCACUUUGGAUGGAAUGCUGGGACAUUGCUCCACUUUGGAAAUCUGCAGGUUCUGCUGGAUAUGUUCUGAGACAAAGCUCAUCUUCACCGUAUGUGCAUCCUGUCUCAUCUAGGCAAGUGUUCAGUGAGCUGGGUGCAGGAAGCACAGCGUCUAGACACAGACAUGUGCCUGGCCAUAUCCUGAAUCGUGGACCCCGAGAAUUCCUGACUUGCAUGUGUGCACACUGAGCAUUGGUGACAUGGAGGGAAAAGAGCACCUCUCCCCUCCCCUUCCUGGCAGACUAGCAUGCCAUUGUCUGAGCUCCAGAGGAACUCAGAGGCUCCACACAGCAACAGGAGGACAUGCUGUGGAGGACGAUGACAUGGUUUCUCUGCCUCCAUCCAACUACAGACAACCACCCCAAAUUACCAACAAGACCUGGGGAAUCUACAGGAGCGUCCCCUUGUGAAAGCCUCCCAGUGGGUACUUACUGUUGAAUCCUGCCCAACUUAGACCCAUCUGCAUUUUGACACUUCAGAAAGUCACCUAUGCCUCUCUGUCUUCACAGAUAACAAAGAAAACCUGCCUGAGCAGGUAAAGAAAUAUCUCAGAAGAGCCUUGGGAAUUAAAUGUGCUUCUCUUUCUGAACUCUAGAGUGGAUCUCCUGAGAAGGGCAGUACCCAUGGACCACCUGUCACAGGCCUCCACUAACAUGAUGAGGCAGAACUUGAGGUCAUACAUUUGGCCAAUUUCUCACUGGUAUUAGGCAGAGACAAUUUACAAAGAAAUACUCAAGUAUUUAAUUAGAAUUCUAACAUAAUUUCUAUAAAUUGGCAUUCAGAAUGCUUUGACCACUGGAGGAGAGAAAUCCAAAGCUAAUGAGCUCUCCGGCUCCACCAGUUGUUAUUCUAAAGGUGACAGAUGUUUGCACUUCAUCUAUAGAAUCAGCAAAAUCCAGUCUGAUGCUCAAACACAAGAUGUAACAACCAAUGGGAUCUAAACCUAGAAGACAUGGCAGAGGACAGGAGAGAUCCCUCCAGACUCUGAUCUUCUCCCAGGACUUUGCACAAAGCCUCAGAGAUCCACAAAAGGCUACAGGGAAGUAAUGGAGACUGGAUACGUGGAACAAAACAGAAUGCUCAGAAGCAAACCCAGCAAGAUCCUGCCAGCUGAUUUUCUUAUAGUCACCCAUGGAAAUCAAGGCAGAGAGAAUGGCUUGUCCACAAAUGAUUGCAGAAGAAGAUUUAAAAAACAAGCAAUAAGGAACCUAUUGAAAAACUGAACACAGUCACCAUUUCUAUUGACCUCAAAUACAAACACUAUAAUGCUCACAUAAAGUUAUAGUAGAGGACUACAUACAUUCCUGCCUUAUAGAAAGGAAGAUCAGAAAUAACAUGGAAAAGAUGAACUGUGGACUCAGGAGCCCUGAUGCCACCAGCCAUGAAAAUACAGAAGCUGGAGCAUGGCAAGAGCAGGACACUCCCCCAGGACAUCUAGAGAGAACCUGGCCACUGACACACCCCAGCAGACAACAAAUCCCUGACAGUGAACGUUGUGUGGCUAAGAGGAGGUGGAGGUGUAGUGUGUGUUGUGUGGUGUGAGGAGGGCUGAAACCUAUCACAUCAUGUGGGAUGGAGAUGAGCUGUCCAGCUGAUCUGAUAACAGCACUGUAUUGAUGGUCCAGUCAGCUGGGGAAAGCAGCAGGGCUGACACCUAGAUACUCACAUGUGCUACCUAUGCCCCUCCCCUUGUUAACAACUUACAUACAGUGUCAGUGUAAGGACAUGAAGGACUCCCCUCACCCACACUCACCACAGAGUUCUCUAGGUAUUAGGCCUAGAUAUUCAACUACCUUCUGCUAUCCCACACGCAAUGCUAGAUUCUAGAACAUGCUAAAUGCCUCCAACCACAGUGUACUAAGACAUGGGGAAAGGUAUCAGACACUGUUGCACACUUUACCUUCUGACAAGGACACACAGUUACUGCUUGGUUCAAACACUCCUGGAAUCUUCCUGCACUGACGUACAACACUAGGUAUAAUGCAGCGUGUGACACUACAGCCAUGCCACCUCACUUGUACUACCAGCUGUCAGACCAGAUAAACAACCUCUACAUCACACACACACACACACACACACACACACACACACACACACACACACACACACUUUAAUACACUUCUAAGUAUUGGGCCAUGCAUGACUUCCCACCAAACCACACAUUGACUGCUAGGUAUCAGGCAUUGCUAAACAAACCCUCACACAUACCUCUCAUGUAUUCCUAGGUCUGGAUCCAGAAUACAACCCACAUAAUCCUUUAUUAACAGCCACUUAUCAGGUCAUACAGGACACUCUCUUGCCACUGUACGCAAAUACUCUGCUAGUAUUAGACCCCACUUGACACCCUAACAUCACUGAAAUUUCACAUACACUGCUAGGGUUCAUGCCCUCUUGAGUAUCACACCGCACCACCACAAUCUACAGUGUUAGUAUCAGGGCCCACUGGAUACCACAUUCCAUCAACCCACAUAUCCCUGUUAUAUUUCAGACCUGCUGGUCAUUCCAAACUCCAUGGCAACUCCUACCAGGCUAGCUGAAGGCCCUGGAAUGCACACAUCACCCUGCAGCCCUCACAUGCACUGUCAGGUGUCAGGCUCUGCUGGCUCCCUCAAUGCCUCACUCACACACUGAAGUGUCAAGCACACUUGUACAAUACAUCGCAUACUGCCAACGUACUUCAAAAUGAAUGAUCAGACCUUGAUGGACACCAGAUCACCCAUAAGCUGACACAUACUCAGUAGGGAUUGUGCAGAGCUCGACACCCCAUCCUUCCACUGCUCCCCUCUGACAUACAGUUAUCAUCAAACACACUGGACACACCACCACCCCUGUGACCACACAUCCACUCUAGGUACCAGGUCCAGUUUGACCUCAUACCCCACAUUAAUCGACAGCCAUCAGACCAUGCUGGGAACAUUCCCCCUGUCAGGUCUUGCACAAUACGUAGCAAUUAGCAUUUCUGGACCCCCUCCUUCUGCUGAAGACACAUCCACACUGCUAGGCAUCAGCUUCUACUGGACUCCUUCCUAUGCUAUACCACGUGCUGGGUCUCAGGCUCUACUGCUGGUUACUGGGCCAUGCUGGACACUAACCCCUGUCCAAACCACAGUGCAUAUAAAGUGCUGUGUGUCAGGUUCACUUGAACACAAGCUUCAUCACACAUGACUUGCUAGGUACCAGACAAUGUUGACACACACCCUUACCCCCUAUAUACACUACUGGCCCAGUGAACACUGCAAUUUUAAGGCUCUUCUAGACACCUCCAUCACUGACAUAUCAAGUUUCUUGCUAUCAGACACUACCACUCUGUGCAGAUUUCAGUCAUGUAUAUUGAAGUAUAUUGUAUGCAUAUACAAUAAUUGGCUUCAAGCCUUACCCAAAGUAGCACCAUUCUGUUGACAACAUACACUACCAGACAGGGGCAUGGGUCUAAGCACAGCUGAAAAUUAGCAGGGCUAUUGUGGCAGGAGGAUGGGUGUGGAAGAGAAACUUAUUAGAUGAGGCCUGUUAUCCUGCACAAUAUCCAGGUUAGGACUGGGGAGUCCUGAGGAUGUGAUACACUGUAGGGCAUCUAGGCCUCAGGCAGGUGUGCAGCAAAGCCUGAAACCAAGCAGUGUGUUUCAGGCUAUAGUGGCAGGGAUAGGGGUGUCCAGCUGGGCCUGGUAACUAGUGGGACAUGGAUGGGUUUGGCAGCAGGACUGGGGGGCAGUAGCUAGCAAGGCCGGUUAUGUGGCCAGCCCCUCAUAGUGGGAUGAGUCUCUGCGGGAGAAGCAGGAAGAUGCUCUACAGUGUUUCUUAUGAAUACAACAGUGUAUGUUGGGUGGCAUCAGUUGGGAGCUGUAUAGAUUCCUUAUGACAUGACACCUAGCAGUCUAUGUAGGAUAUCAGGGGCGUUUGCAGCCCUGUGUUUUCAAUAGUAGUGUAUGUGGAACAGUGCUAAAGAUGAUGAUGUUAUAAGGAAAAGUGUGUGUGUGCGCGUGCUCGCAUGUGUGCACACGUGUGUUUGAACUUGUAGUGAGUGGUCAGAGAGUGUGCUGUAUUGUCAUGGAGAUAGCUGUCUUAGAGAAAAUGAGUCAGUGACUAGGCAAAUAGAAUCCCAGGGUCAGUAUAUUAUUAAUGGAGUUGAUCUGAGAAAGUAUCUUCAAGACAUGGACUUGAGAGAUUUGGAAGAGUAAGGGUAGAAAACUAGAAAUGUGAGGCUUGAUGAAUACAGGCCUAGGGGAGGAAUUUGACUUUAUUUUUACUGUACCAAGAAGCCAAGUUUUCUCUUUGCCAACAACACUAGGUAUCAUCGUCUGUAAGGAGUCCCCACACUUAAAACCCACCCCCACAUUGCUAGGUGUCAGCGUCUACUCUGAAAAAUGUCUUCUACAGCAGGUGCCAAACACACAUGCCUAGGCGUGAGGUCCGGUAGGUCAACUGUCCAUUAAAGAAAAUGCUCCUCUCAUACAGUUGGGUAGCUUGUCCUCCACGACAUCAACAAUGCAAUGGCUAAAGCCCCAUGCACAGGGCUGGGUAUCUGGUGUUUCUAAGGAUCCCCUUACCUACAGCAGCAGAAGCCAUAAACAGACGCCCACAUACUAUGACACAAGUGUCAGGGGCCAGUAUUUAUCUCUUCCCAUACAACCACAUAUACAUACGUGGUUAGGUCACAUUCCUGAUAGGAAUUGCCUCAGCUACAUCAGUGCAAACACCCAGAACUAGGCUUCAGAUCCUGCUGGGCACCUCUUCCCUACAUCCAAAGGACCACACAGUUACACAGCUAGUUUUCUAGUACUGGUACCCCUCCCCUAUAGUCAAAUGCCUUGUACACAGCCACACACUCACAAACACACUCAGGCACACAUGCUUGUAUGAUCCCAUGCACGUGCUCAUGCACUUUCAUCUAGCUGUCAUGUCAACAAGGUCUCCCCCAUUCAGCCAAAGCCCUAUUUACACACAGCUGUCAAAGUGCUGCCCUUCUGGGUGUCCAUCCCCUGCAGCCAAACACAUACACAGAGACAGACAGAGACACAGAGACAAAGAUACAGACAGAGAGACACAGAGUCUGAGGUCAGGUGCUGCUGUUCCCAUUCCAUAACAGACAAAGCUGUCUACUCAGGGCUAGGUGUCAGGUCCUGAUACCUACCUCUUUUUCUAUAUUCAUAGUGCAAUAUUCUUACACAGCUAGUUUACCAAUAUGCACCCCCUCCCUAUAAUCAAAUGCUAGGUACACACUCACACACUCAGAAACACACUCAGGCAUGCAUGCUCCUAUAAAUGCCUUCACGAAUUCAAUACACUCUCAGCUAGCUAUCAGGUCCUAGAAGAUAGCCACCAUACAAGGAAAAACCCUCAUAUACUUCUAGGUGUUAACUCCUGUGAGUUAGAGGUAUCACCCAUACCAAAAAUAUCCCCACACACACCUCUAGGUGUUAGGUCCUGUGAGGUGUCCCACAUAGAGCCAAAGCCCUAUUUACACACAGCCAACAAGGUGCUUCUGCUGCUAGGUGUCCAUUACUAAAGCGAAUCUCUCUGUCUCUUUCUCUCCCCUCUCCCACUGCAUCCCCUCCCUCUGUCACAUACACACAUGUAUAUAUGUACAUCUAAGGCCCUGUACUGUUAGGUAUACAUUUGCCUAGAGCCAAAGACUCCCAAUACAUGCAAUUUGACUGGACUUUCAGGGUUAUUGUCUCCAUUAUAGGCAAAGCCACCCCCUCAUCAACACACAACACACACACACACACACACACACACACACACACACACACACAAGUGCAGUUACAUGGCAGGAUCUGUUGGAUUUACAGCUUCCUUAGAGCCAAAGCAUCUAAACAGGGCCAGGUGUCAGCUUCUGUUAGGUCCACUCUUCCCUACAGCCAAUAUUCCUCUUACAGCAGCUAGGUAUCAUGAACUCCUAGAGAUCCAAUGCGAUACACUAGAGUCCCAUGCACAAGGCUAGGCAUCACAUCCUGCUAGGAACCCCGGACACAGGCAAACACCCAGGCACAGCUCUCAUAUUCAUAUAAGGCAAGUGUCAGGUCAGGUAUUUGUCUCUAGCCUUACAACCAAAGUUCCACAUACACAAACAUGGUUAGGUUUUAGGAUCUGCUAGGUACCUUCUUCCCCACAGCAAAACACCAGGUUAACAAACAUACAAAUGCAAGCAUGCACACAUGCACAUAUACAAUCAUGCAUGCAGGCCUGUGGGAACCCUCCCCUGAGUGUGAGUCCCAGGAGUACCCUAGACACAUGAAUGGAGCUAUGGAUUUAGGGGAAGGCUAGGACUUGGCACCUACCUGUGAGUGUGUGGCUUUGAUGUAGAACUGGGGUCUUCCUCACAGGAAUACAAGUAGUCAUGUAUGUGUUUAUGACUUUGGCUGUAAGGGUGAGACUACAGUGCUACUCUUGACACCUAGCCCUGUGUGGAGAACUAGGGCUUAAAAUAGAAAGAAGUCCAUCAGGACUUGACUUUGUGUGUGUGUGUGUGUGUGUGUGUGUGUGUGUGUGUGUGUGUGUGUGUGUGUGUAGGGUUGUGCAUUAGCUUGGUGAAGUAAUGCCUAGUAGGUCUUUACACACCUACCCUACAGCCAAAGACCUUUAUUCACAUAUAUGGCUCACUAUCAGUUCCUGCUGGAUAAACAAUUCCUUACAGCCUAGCCAAACUGACACAAAUCUCAGAACCUGCUAGGAAUAUCACCCUAUAUUGAAAAGACCCACCUAUGACUAGAGCACCAUGUCCUCCUCAGUAUCAUGUCCCCAAAAGCAAAGCUUCAAAUAUACUGGCCAGGUGUCACAUCAUGCUAGGUACCCUAAUCUCUACAGCCAAUGUUACAGGUACACAAAGAGAUGGAGUUAGGUUAUUCUGACUGCCCCAGACUUAUAAUCAAAGACUCUAUCUCUGUCUCUGUCUGUCUCUCUCAUACACACACACACACACACACACACACACACACACACACACACACACAACUAUGUAUCUGUUACUUCUAGACAUUUCCUCCCCCCAGGAAAGUCCCACAUAACACAGACAGGGCUAGAUUUCUACUCCUGCUAGAUACAAUCUCCCUAGUAAGAUCUCAGAAGAACCUCUAAGAGGACAUGGUAUCUAGCUGAGUAAGAGGAAUAUACAUACAGCCAAAGCUAGACACAAAAAGCUAGGUGUCAGUUCUUUUGGUAUCCAAUCCCAUCUGUGUAUCUCUAUGUUUUAUACUCACUUCAGAAGUGUGGGAGCCAGAAACAGCUGAUGGAGAUGACCUCUGGCAUUUGUCUUUCUGGAUCUGGGUUCUCUCACUCAAUAUUAUCUUUUCCACAUCCAUCCAUUUACACAGAAGGAUGGCUUAAACAAAGAGGAUUAUUUGCUGAGUGUCUGAAACUAGUCCUGUGAUUUUGCAGUUGCAUGCAGUUUACAGGACUCAUUUCUUUAUUAAUGCCUAAUGUGGGAGAUCAGGCCCAAUGUGGGUGCCUCCACCCCUGUACAUUGGUCAGGAAUUGUGUAAGAAAGGAAACUGAAUUAGCCAUGAAGAGCAAGUCAGGAAAGAGCUGUCCUCUGAAUCUGCUAGAGUUCCUGAAAACUUCCCUAAUGAUGGACAUUGAACAGGACAUGGGGGCCAAAUAAACUCUUUCUACCACA
This is a long non-coding RNA of Peromyscus leucopus (white-footed mouse), 7886 nucleotides long. RefSeq lists it as uncharacterized. The record is from RefSeq and is a predicted model, not a curated record. The transcript is spliced from 4 exons. NCBI's taxonomy places the organism in Eukaryota, Metazoa, Chordata, Mammalia, Rodentia, Cricetidae.